AGCAGCCGCCACGGUAAUACGAAGGGUGCAAGCGUUAAUCGGAAUUACUGGGCGUAAAGCGUGCGUAGGCGGUGAGUUAAGUCUGCUGUGAAAUCCCCGGGCUCAACCUGGGAAUGGCAGUGGAUACUGGCUCGCUAGAGUGUGUCAGAGGAUGGUGGAAUUCCCGGUGUAGCGGUGAAAUGCGUAGAGAUCGGGAGGAACAUCAGUGGCGAAGGCGGCCAUCUGGGACAACACUGACGCUGAGGCACGAAAGCGUGGGGAGCAAACAGGAUUAGAUACCCCCGUAGUCCCUGUCUCUUAUAC
This 303-nucleotide ribosomal RNA is filed under the name uncultured bacterium. RNAcentral describes it as "partial 16S ribosomal RNA". It matches the Rfam family "Bacterial small subunit ribosomal RNA", at positions 507 to 807 of the family's 1533-position model. The record is from RNAcentral.